UACGAAGGGGGCGAGCGUUGUUCGGAAUUACUGGGCGUAAAGGGCGCGCAGGCGGCUCUGCAAGUCAGAUGUGAAAGCCCCGGGCUUAACCUGGGAACUGCAUUUGAUACUCUAGAGCUUGAGUACGGGAGAGGAGAGUGGAAUUCCCAGUGUAGAGGUGAAAUUCGUAGAUAUUGGGAAGAACACCGGUGGCGAAGGCGGCUCUCUGGACCGUAACUGACGCUGAGGCACGAAAGCUAGGGGAGCAAACAGG
RNAcentral lists this ribosomal RNA (253 nucleotides) under uncultured bacterium. Its description in RNAcentral is "partial 16S ribosomal RNA". It matches the Rfam family "Bacterial small subunit ribosomal RNA", at positions 524 to 776 of the family's 1533-position model. The record is from RNAcentral.